GGGUACAGUGUGACCCAGACUGGACCAGUGAUCUCUGGACUGGAGGGGUACAGUGUGACCAGACUGGACUGGAGACUGGACUCUAGAGUUAGAAUCUGACCGGCUUGUUCUCUGCCUGGAAAAGGUUCCUCUGCUCCUUUUCCAUUUUUGGUACAGAACACUACUGUGUCCAAUAAUUCAUCUCAUAAGCAAUGCAGAGCAAUUUCCUGGAUCUCUGUGGCACGGACUGUUCUCUCAUUCAAGCCUACCUGUGUAACUCAAGCUGCUCCGUGACUCGCAGUGGUGUUGAGUUUCCUGUAGUGGGUGGAGGGAGGAGUCAGAGAGACUGGAGGGAAACACAGAGACCGCCGAGAGAGAAGCAGGAACGAGAGGACGAGAGAAAUCAUGUCCUCCUUUUCGCUCUCCUCCCUGAACCUUGGGGUGAGAGUCCCAGCUGCAAGAACACAGGAGA
This 451-nucleotide long non-coding RNA is filed under the name Lepisosteus oculatus (spotted gar). Its description in RNAcentral is "lncRNA (ENSLOCG00000022260.1)". Lineage: Eukaryota; Metazoa; Chordata; Actinopteri; Semionotiformes; Lepisosteidae. The record is from RNAcentral.